RNAcentral lists this long non-coding RNA (1580 nucleotides) under Callithrix jacchus (white-tufted-ear marmoset). RNAcentral describes it as "lncRNA (ENSCJAG00000078283.1)". Lineage: Eukaryota; Metazoa; Chordata; Mammalia; Primates; Cebidae. The record is from RNAcentral.
UGAUCUUUAUUUCAACAGUUUCCCAUGCCAUGUAGUCAUUCUUCAAAAACUGGCAUUGAACAGCUGCAUAAUAUUCCACUGCGGAGAAGUGCUCUUCGGUGUAGAGAACUGUGUUAUUUACAGUGAUGUUUGUGAUGAUUUGGACAUAUGCCCUUCUCUGGCACUGUGAUGACUACAUUGGUAGGCACCUCCAGUGGGGCAUUUAGGAGCCUUACUUGCCCAGGGACCCACUGAAGCAUCCAGGCCCUGUGUCCCUGGAAUAGAAUGCACGGGAGUCUCCACUGCUACGGCCUCUGCAGUGUGAGGUCAGGUGUCUCCUUCCUCCGCAGGCCAUGGAAGUUUCUAGACACACCAUGACCCCACGAGGGGAGGACGGGAAGCACGCGUGACCCUGCAAAUGUCUGCUGCCCGUGACCCCACGAGGGGAGGAGGGGAAGCACGCGUGACCCUGCAAAUGUCUGCUGCCCGUGACCCCACGAGGGGAGGACGGGAAGCACGCGUGACCCUGCAAAUGUCUGCUGCCCGUGACCCCACGAGGGGAGGACGGGAAGCACGCGUGACCCUGCAAAUGUCUGCUGCCCUCUCUGAGCCUUCGUUUCUGAGGGGCCUGGGGGGAGCCACGGCUGUGACUCGAUGCCCUGGAUGGGCAGCGCAGGGGUGGGGUGGAGUGGCCGCUCACUCGCUGGCUCACUCGGUGAGUGCACACGCUCUGCCCUGCUCAUAGCAGGCCCCAUCUAGGCACGUAAGGAGGUCAGGAUCCUGGCCUCAGGGCGCCGACUAAAAAUUUAGAGAGGGAGGCAGACAGUGAGCAGUGAGACAAUGACUGAAUGCAUGGCAAACCUGUGGUGCCAUGGAGAACAUCUGGGAGAGGGGGUGGAGACUGAUGGGAAGCGGGGUCCCAGAGGAGCCGGGCCGGAGAGGAGAUGUCUAAAUGGAAUGAAUACAGGGGGCAUGCCUUGUGUCUGCGGCCUGGAGGAGGAAGAGAGAGAAGACACAACAUGCCAGGAGCAGUAAGGGCACAGGCCCUGAGGCAGGCAGGUGGCCACGUGAAUCUGGAGCUGGGAGACGACACUGGCCUAGAGGUGAAAAGCAGAAGCUUUUCCCAGAGCUGGGAAUGGAAGAAGCUCCUCACCCCACUGUCAGAGCCAGGACUGACCCCUGGGCUCCAGCAAGAGCCUCUCAGGUCUGCACUGCCCCUGCCUUUUCCCUCACGCCUUCUCCCCUGCCCCCUGAGCUAUUUCCCUCUUGAAUCAAGAUCCGUCUUCCUAAACCACCCAUCUGACCAGGUUCCUCCCUGCCUAGCACCGUCCGUGGCUCCCUGUGGCCCCAGACUAGACUACAGGGCCUGCCGUUCCCCAGUUCCUGCUCUCAUCUCUCCUAGUCUCCCACCCAGUCCCUGGCCAAAGUGCCCAGAGCCCCCCAAAACACCCAGCUGCUUCCUGCCUCCAUGCUGUUUGUCCUGGAACCUCCCCCACAACCCCCACCUGGCCCUGAGUGUACCAUCUGUGGGACAAAACCUCAGUUUCUCAUCUGUAAAAUGGGAAAAGUCCUUACUGUACCUACCUCACUGGGUGCUGUGA